RNAcentral lists this transfer RNA (75 nucleotides) under Thermoplasmata archaeon. Its description in RNAcentral is "tRNA-Pro". RNAcentral also lists the same sequence under 6 other names. Lineage: Archaea; Methanobacteriati; Thermoplasmatota; Thermoplasmata. The record is from RNAcentral.
GGGGCCGUGGGGUAGCUUGGACCAUCCUUCUUGCUUGGGGUGCAAGAGACUCCGAUUCAAAUUCGGACGGCCCCA